AGAAUCAACGCUGGCGGCGUGCCUAACACAUGCAAGUCGAACGAGAAAGUGGAGCAAUCCAUGAGUACAGUGGCGCACGGGUGAGUAACACGUGACUAACCUACCCUGGAGUGGGGGAUAACUGAGGGAAACCUUAGCUAAUACCGCAUAAUACCUACGGGUCAAAGGAGCAAUUCGCUUUGGGAGGGGGUCGCGGCCGAUUAGUUAGUUGGCGGGGUAAUGGCCCACCAAGACAGUGAUCGGUAUCCGGCCUGAGAGGGCGCACGGACACACUGGAACUGAAACACGGUCCAGACUCCUACGGGAGGCAGCAGUGGGGAAUUUUGCGCAAUGGGGGAAACCCUGACGCAGCAACGCCGCGUGGAGGAUGAAGUCCUUCGGGACGUAACUCCUUUCGAUCGGGACGAUAAUGACGGUACCGGAAGAAGAAGCCCCGGCUAACUUCGCGCCAGCAGCCGC
RNAcentral lists this ribosomal RNA (459 nucleotides) under uncultured bacterium. RNAcentral describes it as "SSU rRNA". It matches the Rfam family "Bacterial small subunit ribosomal RNA", at positions 26 to 518 of the family's 1533-position model. The record is from RNAcentral.